RNAcentral lists this ribosomal RNA (1834 nucleotides) under Streptomyces sp. IB2014 011-12. RNAcentral describes it as "bacterial LSU rRNA". It matches the Rfam family "Bacterial large subunit ribosomal RNA", at positions 1221 to 2925 of the family's 2925-position model. Lineage: Bacteria; Bacillati; Actinomycetota; Actinomycetes; Kitasatosporales; Streptomycetaceae. The record is from RNAcentral.
GGGAUGGGUAGGGGAGCGUCGUGUGCCGGGUGAAGCAGCCGCGGAAGCGAGUUGUGGACGGUUCACGAGUGAGAAUGCAGGCAUGAGUAGCGAUACACACGUGAGAAACGUGUGCGCCGAUUGACUAAGGGUUCCUGGGUCAAGCUGAUCUGCCCAGGGUAAGUCGGGACCUAAGGCGAGGCCGACAGGCGUAGUCGAUGGACAACCGGUUGAUAUUCCGGUACCCGCUUUGAAACGCCCAGUACUGAAUCAGGCGAUGCUAAGUCCGUGAAGCCGGCCCGAUCUCUUCGGAGUUGAGGGUAGUGGUGGAGCCGAUGAACCAGACUUGUAGUAGGUAAGCGAUGGGGUGACGCAGGAAGGUAGUCCAGCCCGGGCGGUGGUUGUCCCGGGGUAAGGGUGUAGGACGCACGGUAGGCAAAUCCGUCGUGCAUAUAAGUCUGAGACCUGAUGCCGAGCCGAUUGUGGUGAAGUGGAUGAUCCUAUGCUGUCGAGAAAAGCCUCUAGCGAGUUUCAUGGCGGCCCGUACCCUAAACCGACUCAGGUGGUCAGGUAGAGAAUACCGAGGCGUUCGGGUGAACUAUGGUUAAGGAACUCGGCAAAAUGCCCCCGUAACUUCGGGAGAAGGGGGGCCAUCACUGGUGAUAGCACUUGCUGCUUGAGCUGGGGGUGGCCGCAGAGACCAGCGAGAAGCGACUGUUUACUAAAAACACAGGUCCGUGCGAAGCCGUAAGGCGAUGUAUACGGACUGACGCCUGCCCGGUGCUGGAACGUUAAGGGGACCGGUUAGUGCACUUUCGGGUGUGCGAAGCUGAGAACUUAAGCGCCAGUAAACGGCGGUGGUAACUAUAACCAUCCUAAGGUAGCGAAAUUCCUUGUCGGGUAAGUUCCGACCUGCACGAAUGGCGUAACGACUUCUCGACUGUCUCAACCAUAGGCCCGGUGAAAUUGCACUACGAGUAAAGAUGCUCGUUUCGCGCAGCAGGACGGAAAGACCCCGGGACCUUUACUAUAGUUUGAUAUUGGUGUUCGGUUCGGCUUGUGUAGGAUAGGUGGGAGACUGUGAAGCGGCCACGCCAGUGGUUGUGGAGUCGUCGUUGAAAUACCACUCUGGUCGUGCUGGAUGUCUAACCUGGGUCCGUGAUCCGGAUCAGGGACAGUGUCUGAUGGGUAGUUUAACUGGGGCGGUUGCCUCCUAAAGAGUAACGGAGGCGCCCAAAGGUUCCCUCAGCCUGGUUGGCAAUCAGGUGUUGAGUGUAAGUGCACAAGGGAGCUUGACUGUGAGACCGACGGGUCGAGCAGGGACGAAAGUCGGGACUAGUGAUCCGGCAGUGGCUUGUGGAAGCGCUGUCGCUCAACGGAUAAAAGGUACCCCGGGGAUAACAGGCUGAUCUUCCCCAAGAGUCCAUAUCGACGGGAUGGUUUGGCACCUCGAUGUCGGCUCGUCGCAUCCUGGGGCUGGAGUCGGUCCCAAGGGUUGGGCUGUUCGCCCAUUAAAGCGGUACGCGAGCUGGGUUUAGAACGUCGUGAGACAGUUCGGUCCCUAUCCGCUGCGCGCGUAGGAAUAUUGAGAAGGGCUGUCCCUAGUACGAGAGGACCGGGACGGACGAACCUCUGGUGUGCCAGUUGUCCUGCCAAGGGCAUGGCUGGUUGGCUACGUUCGGAAAGGAUAACCGCUGAAAGCAUCUAAGCGGGAAGCCUGCUUCGAGAUGAGUAUUCCCACCCUCUUGAGGGGUUAAGGCUCCCAGUAGACGACUGGGUUGAUAGGCCAGAUGUGGAAGCCCUGUAAGGGGUGGAGCUGACUGGUACUAAUAGGCCGAGGGCUUGUCCUCAGUUG